Molecule: ribosomal RNA, 372 nt
Filed under: uncultured organism
Description: partial 16S ribosomal RNA
Rfam family: Bacterial small subunit ribosomal RNA
Source: RNAcentral
GUAGGUGGCAAGCGUUGUCCGGAAUUAUUGGGCGUAAAGCGCGCGCAGGCGGUCCUUUAAGUCUGAUGUGAAAGCCCACGGCUCAACCGUGGAGGGUCAUUGGAAACUGGGGGACUUGAGUACAGAAGAGGAAAGCGGAAUUCCAAGUGUAGCGGUGAAAUGCGUAGAGAUUUGGAGGAACACCAGUGGCGAAGGCGGCUUUCUGGUCUGUAACUGACGCUGAGGCGCGAAAGCGUGGGGAGCAAACAGGGAUUAGAUACCCUGGUAGUCCACGCCGCAAACGAUGAGUGCUAAGUGUUAGGGGGUUUCCGCCCCCUUAGUGCUGCAGCUAACGCAUUAAGCACUCCGCCUGGGGAUACGGCCGCAAGGCUG